GACGAACGCUGGCGGCGUGCUUAACACAUGCAAGUCGAACGGAAAGGCCCUGCUUUUGUGGGGUGCUCGAGUGGCGAACGGGUGAGUAACACGUGAGUAGCCUGCCCUUGACUUUGGGAUAACUUCAGGAAACUGGGGCUAAUACCGGAUAGGAGCUCCUGCUGCAUGGUGGGGGUUGGAAAGUUUCGGCGGUUGGGGAUGGACUCGCGGCUUAUCAGCUUGUUGGUGGGGUAGUGGCUUACCAAGGCUUUGACGGGUAGCCGGCCUGAGAGGGUGACCGGCCACAUUGGGACUGAGAUACGGCCCAGACUCCUACGGGAGGCAGCAGUGGGGAAUGUUGCACAAUGGGCGGAAGCCUGAUGCAGCAACGCCGCGUGCGGGAUGACGGCCUUCGGGUUGUAAACCGCUUUCGCCUGUGACGAAGCGUGAGUGACGGUAAUGGGUAAAGAAGCACCGGCUAACUACGUG
This 468-nucleotide ribosomal RNA is filed under the name uncultured bacterium. RNAcentral's name for it is "partial 16S ribosomal RNA". It matches the Rfam family "Bacterial small subunit ribosomal RNA", at positions 28 to 507 of the family's 1533-position model. The record is from RNAcentral.